GGUCUAGGGGUGAAAGGCCAAUCGAGCCCGGAGAUAGCUGGUUCCCCCCGAAGUAACCCUAAGGUUAGCCGGAGGUUAGGUAGAUAGCAGGGUAGAGCACUGAUAGAGGGGUUAGGGGACGAAAGUCCUCGCCUUUCUGUCAAACUCCGAACCUGUUAUCGCUGCAGCCUCUGAGAAAGGGCAUACGGGUAAGCUGUAUGUCCGAGACGGGAAUAGCCGCGACUCAGGUUAAGGUCCCUAAGUACUGAUUAAGUGUGAACACGAAGGGCGUCCUUGGCCUAAGACAGCAGGGAGGUUGGCUUAGAAGCAGCCAUCCUUAAAAGAGUGCGUAACAGCUCACCUGUCGAGGUCAGGGGCCCCGAAAAUGGACGGGGCUAAAUCAGUUACCGAGACCUGAGGGCACCGAAAGGUGAUCCGGUAGGGGGGCGUUCUGUAAGGGCAGAAGUUUGGCUGUGAAGUCAAGUGGACCUUAUAGAAAUGAAGAUCCCGGUAGUAGUAACAGCACAAGUGGAGUGAGAAUCUCCACCGCCGAAGGGGCAAGGGUUUCACAGCAAUGUUCGUCAGCUGUGAGUAAGCCGGUCCUAACUUCCGAGGUAACUCCUUUGGAAGGAAAGGGAGACAGGUUAAUAUUCCUGUGCCAUCUAAAUACACGCGGCAACGCAAGGUUAGUUUCUGACGCUUCAGGGUAUGCUAACUACUCUUGUCUGGGUAGUCAAAUGUAUAAGUCUGGGGAGAAUUGUAAUAAUGAGAACCAGAUGAAAGCAUGAUGAUCCAUCCUUUAGGAUGGUUUGGUAGAUCUCUGGAGCCCGUGAAAAGGGAACUAUCAUGGAUUUUAGAUGACCGUACCCAGAACCGACACUGGUGCCCCUAGGUGAGUAUCCUAAGGCGUAUCGGAUGAAUCUAGUCGAGGGAAGUCGGCAAAAUGGCUCCGUAACUUCGGGAGAAGGAGUGCCAGUGACCUUGUUAAGGGGUCGCUGGUCGCAGUGACCAGGGAGGUCCGACUGUUCAAUACAAACACAGGUCUUAGCUAGUCUGAAAAGAUGUGUACUAAGGCCGACGCCUGCCCAGUGCUGGUACGUGAACCCCGGGUUCAACCGGGCGAAGCGCCAGUAAACGGCGGGGGUAACUAUAACCCUCUUAAGGUAGCGAAAUUCCUUGUCGGGUAAGUUCCGACCUGCAUGAAUGGCGUAACGAGACCUCCACUGUCCCCGACUAGAAUCCGGUGAACCUACCAUUCCGGUGCAAAGGCCGGAGACUUCCAGUGGGAAGCGAAGACCCCGUGGAGCUUUACUGCAGCCUGUCGUUGGGGCAUGAUUGUGGGUGUACAGUGUAGGUGGGAGCCAUCGAAACCUUCUCGCUAGGGAAGGUGGAGGCGUCCAUGGGACACCACCCUCCUAUGAUCAUGUCCCUUACCCAAGUAUGGGGACACCGGUAGGUGGGCAGUUUGGCUGGGGCGGUACCCUCCUAAAAAUGCAUCAGGAGGGCCCAAAGGUUGGCUCAAGCGGGUCAGGACUCCGCUGUUGAGUGUAAGGGCAAAAGCCAGCCUGACUUAGUUGUCCACAAUACGCAACUAAGAGACGAAAGUCGGGCCUAACGAACCCCUGUGCCUCACCGAUGGAGGCCAGGGAUGACAGAAAAGCUACCCCGGGGAUAACAGAGUUGUCGCGGGCAAGAGCCCAUAUCGACCCCGCGGCUUGCUACCUCGAUGUCGGUUUUUCCCAUCCUGGAUCUGCAGCAGGAUCCAAGGGUGGGGCUGUUCGCCCAUUAAAGGGGAUCAUGAGCUGGGUUUAGACCGUCGUGAGACAGGUUGGUUGCUAUCUGCUGGAAGUGUUGGCUGUCUGAGGGAAAGGUGGUUCUAGUACGAGAGGAACGAGCCGCCGGUGCCUCUAGUUUAUCGGUUGUUCGACAGGGCAUUGCCGAGCCGCCACGCACCAAGGGAUAAGAGCUGAAAGCAUCUAAGCUCGAAGUCCAUCCUGAAAACAGACAGCCGUCCUUCUAGGAGGCGAGGGGUCCCAUAGAAGAUGGGUUUGAUAGGCUAGGAAUGUAAGCAUCAAGGUUUUCCGAGGUGUUUAGUUCGCUAGUACUAACCCCCCAAGAGAUAUUGG
This 2105-nucleotide ribosomal RNA is filed under the name metagenome. RNAcentral describes it as "bacterial LSU rRNA". It matches the Rfam family "Archaeal large subunit ribosomal RNA", at positions 890 to 2987 of the family's 2987-position model. The record is from RNAcentral.